AAUAAUCAUAUGUUUAUCCUUCAAUCACUUCUUUGAGAUAUGCAAUUUGAACGAAAAAAAGAUAGCUGUAUAACUUUUGCUCGGCAAGAUAAGUCCAUAGAAAUAAGGUGCACAUGAAUUAGAGAUGACUAGUGUGGCUAAGGAUGAUACUGAUUACUAGAAUAUGAUUUUCUU
Molecule: long non-coding RNA, 174 nt
Organism: Magnolia sinica
Lineage: Eukaryota; Viridiplantae; Streptophyta; Magnoliopsida; Magnoliales; Magnoliaceae
Exons: 3
Source: RefSeq, a predicted model, not a curated record